AAGAAGACGACAAAUAAGAAUGGUAUUAAGUUGGUAGAAUGGAACUCCUUCCUGAUUCCUGCACAUGUAAGUUACCAGAUACUCUUGAGGGACCAAUUUAAGGGCAAACAGACAAACGUUUUGAUGCAAAGAAAGCAUUGGAUUUGAAAGUUCCCAUGGAGAAGAAAAAUGGAGAGAUUCUAAAAGUAUGAAGAUACUCCUGUGUAUAAUGAGGAAAUCUUGUCAGUGAAUGUUGUUGCAAUUGUGGACCAGGCCAGAGUUGUACUAAACCAACUAAGACACAAUGAGAUACAGGAAUGACACAAUGAGAAACAGGAAACAGGAAAGUGAUGACUGAUCGCCACCUGUUACAAAUUCAUCUAGAAAACUCCCCACAUCCAACAAGAGACAGUCUGACUUCAAAAUCUUCAUUGAAAGCAACUUAAUGGACAAGACAUCCGUCACAUAAAGAUUCACUAAAAUUGGAAUGAUAUACCAAUUUUAACUUUUAACAGACAAAUACAUUAUAGAUUUGAAAAUAGAUUACCCUUAAAUAAGUUGGAUGAUUAACAUUUACCUCAACACAGUACAA
Long non-coding RNA from Mya arenaria, 571 nucleotides. RefSeq lists it as uncharacterized. NCBI's taxonomy places the organism in Eukaryota, Metazoa, Mollusca, Bivalvia, Myida, Myidae. The transcript is spliced from 5 exons. The record is from RefSeq and is a predicted model, not a curated record.